Molecule: transfer RNA, 56 nt
Filed under: Chrysochloris asiatica (Cape golden mole)
Lineage: Eukaryota; Metazoa; Chordata; Mammalia; Afrosoricida; Chrysochloridae
Description: transfer RNA-Ser (AGY)
Source: RNAcentral
GAAAGAAUUAAGAACUGCUAACUCUUUAUACCAUGCCUAAAACCAUGGCUUCCUUA